Long non-coding RNA from Polyodon spathula (Mississippi paddlefish), 2726 nucleotides. RefSeq lists it as uncharacterized. The record is from RefSeq and is a predicted model, not a curated record. NCBI's taxonomy places the organism in Eukaryota, Metazoa, Chordata, Actinopteri, Acipenseriformes, Polyodontidae. The transcript is spliced from 4 exons.
CCUGCUAUCAGGUGCUGAGUCGUCACUUAGCAUGGUCCUGAUAGGGAUGGGGGUGAGCUGCCAGUGUACUGUAGGAAUUAAAAUCAGAAAGAGACUCUGCUGUAAUGAAAUACCCAGUCAUUGAAUACAUCUGAAUAAACAUGACUCUGGGCUGGUGAUGUGGACAUGGGCUAGGAUGACUAGGUUUCUAAACAGACGUCAGCAAAGAGCUCGAAUAGUGAAAAGGAUGCCAGAGGGAUUUGCAAGAUUCUGGACUCAAUUGUUGCCAAGCUGUGUAAAAUAUCGCCUCAUAUCUCGAGCUCUGAAGUCUGAAAAGGAAACCUCAAGUCAAGAGGAUAAGGCUGGUCCACUGAAGCAUACUGAAGGUUAAGCAGCUGGUUUGUCAGGCUGGACAGGUUUGGACCAUGACAGAUCCUCUAGCGGUGCUGAAGCAAACAGGACAUGUGUUGUAAGCCACAGCUGCAUCUGAAGGGGAAAAAAAGAGUGCUUAAACGGGUCAGAUGUGCAAUCGGAUUACAAACCCGCCUAACUGAUUCUGACGACAGAAACCGCCCCUGCGUCUGAAACACUGUGGUGUUCUACCCUUGCAAGAUGUUUGGACUCUAAUGAAGCGUGAACUGCUUGCCUCAAAUCUGGUGGGCAAGGGGAAGGUUAAGAUGAGUGCUUGCUGCCCGACUGCCUUCUGCACACGCAUCUCACAGCUGACUCACCUUGUGCAGUGAAACGAGCCUGAGAGUCUCACAAAGUCACCACCUCAGUUAGGGUACUGACCACAUCCUCCUGGGCCCACUGGGUUGGCAGCGCAGCUCAUACAUGCAAACCCAGGGCUGUCAAAUCUCUCAAUCAACCGCCUAAAAAUACUUUGAAUCUCACACUGGAAUGAAGUGGUGUGUUACAGGUGCCUGGGUGUGGUGAUCACGACAAGACAGAAAUACAAAAAUCAAGUCCAGUCUGCCCCAGUUUGUGAACAUAUGCUUUAUUUCAAAACAGUUUCAGUGCUGCUGGUUCUAAGGUCCUCAAGAAAUACAUUUCUAAAGCUGUCGAUUGAUUGUGUGCUUAUCUAAUUAGAAACACAUAAAUCAGCUGUACGGUUUUUCUGCAGUGAAAGAUAGUACAAGCUAUUUAGAACUGAAAAUAUAUGCAAGCAUACUGAAUAAUCAAGAAUUAUCAGCACCACCUCAGAAAUAAACAUGCGGUCUAGAGUGCCAGCAAUCUCUGCAGUGUUUACUUAGCAAGCAGGCACAAACACAUCAGAUUUUCAAAACUGCCCACUGAGAGAGGAAGAGCAGUGUGACCACUGAAGCAUGUUUAUCCACAUCUAGCUAAAAAUACCAUUUACAGCAAAGGUUUUUUUUUUUUUUUUUUUUUUUUUGGUGAUACAUUUUAAUAGGAUUAUGAGUGUGCAAUAAUGCUUUUGGAGACCACAAAGGUCUUCUGAUGAGAUGUGGAAAGUGAAGGAUAAGCAUAUUUCUGCUACAGGUCAGAAAGUAAUAAAAACCUCUGUGUCCUCAAUAGCUAGUGCAUUUUAGGAAUUGGUGCAGAAAGACAGACCACGGUCUUUACCUGGUGCAGAAAGACGGGCCAUUGUAAAACUGGAUUCUUUCAAACACAUGACAUGUUCUCUUUGAGCCGAUGCCCUAAUCAUAACCCUAACCCUAACCCUUACCUGUCCCUAAGCCUCACCCUAAUCCCUACCCGUUAUUAACCCUAACCCUAUCCCUAUCCCUAUCCCUAACCCUAACCCAAAUAUAAGAACUUAUAUAAAUCUUAAGCUCAGUGUUUAAAUUAUGAGCUAGCCUGUUGUUUCAAAGCCUUGCCCAUCUUUCUGCACCUACAGUAUGCCUUAUUUUAUAUACAUAUUCGGCAGAUGCUAUUAAAAGGUAUGUUGUACUUCUCAUACAUAAUGUGGACCAGAGCACCUUGUCCAUUGCCACUUGAUUAGCCAUGUGUAACGCUUACCCAAAUCUAAAGUUAAACACCCUUUCAUGAAUAUGUCACAUUAUUACAUGCAUAAUAAAUAUAUAAAAAGUGUUACAUUAGAAUUUAAAAAUGUUAUCGUCGCAGUACAUCCAAUUUGAUAAUCCUAUGCUUGUCUUUCAUGUUAUUUAUAACUUUCCUGUCAGUUCAAUUGGUGCAGUCUUGUUAGCUCUCGAGAAAUGCAAAGCAGCUGUGUGACACCCAACAUUCUUGUUUCUCAUCGGUUUGCAUUAUUAAUGCUUUCUGCGGUUUCUGAUGUCUGCACCACAUAGUCACGAAGUACUGAUCCACUGAAGUUUUAAUGGAGCGCAUCUGUCAGUACAGGUCAGACAGGAUUGCAUAGUUCUGUUCACCGGAUUUGCCAACCACAAGAUGAGCAAAUUAUCGGUCGCUUCCCAUUUUUAACAUUUCCAGUGCCAAUCACACUUUAUGCUUCCAUCACAAUUUAUAUAUGGAGCCCUGGAGAUUCGGCCAACUUAUACUUAAUUCAAUAUCAUGCUUAUUGCUUAUAAUAAUAAUAAUCAGAAGAUUUGCUGAUUUAAUUUUGGUUAUCCUGGAUUUGACACAGAAGAGGUUAAUGGCACAUAUAUAAUUAUAAUUAAAUAUAAUUAAAUUAAAAUUAAAAAAAAACUUGCUCCACUUCUGCACUAAACUACAUUGUACUCUCAGCCUUCAAUAAAAAUUCAAAUAUAGAAUUAUAUGUAAUUAUUUUUGGAAAAUAGCACACCGUUCUCCUGCUUGUAUUUGAA